This 21-nucleotide microRNA is filed under the name Corchorus olitorius. RNAcentral's name for it is "hvu-miR504". Lineage: Eukaryota; Viridiplantae; Streptophyta; Magnoliopsida; Malvales; Malvaceae. The record is from RNAcentral.
AAUUAAUUAGGAACAGAGGGA